RNAcentral lists this ribosomal RNA (491 nucleotides) under uncultured bacterium. Its description in RNAcentral is "partial 16S ribosomal RNA". It matches the Rfam family "Bacterial small subunit ribosomal RNA", at positions 29 to 506 of the family's 1533-position model. The record is from RNAcentral.
AGUGAACGCUGGCGGUAGGCCUAACACAUGCAAGUCGAACGGCAGCACAGUAAGAGCUUGCUCUUACGGGUGGCGAGUGGCGGACGGGUGAGGAAUACAUCGGAAUCUACUUUUUCGUGGGGGAUAACGUAGGGAAACUUACGCUAAUACCGCAUACGACCUACGGGUGAAAGCAGGGGAUCUUCGGACCUUGCGCGAUUGAAUGAGCCGAUGUCGGAUUAGCUAGUUGGCGGGGUAAAGGCCCACCAAGGCGACGAUCCGUAGCUGGUCUGAGAGGAUGAUCAGCCACACUGGAACUGAGACACGGUCCAGACUCCUACGGGAGGCAGCAGUGGGGAAUAUUGGACAAUGGGCGCAAGCCUGACCCAGCCAUACCGCGUGGGUGAAGAAGGCCUUCGGGUUGUAAAGCCCUUUUGUUGGGAAAGAAAAGCAGCAGGUUAAUACCCCGCUGUUCUGACGGUACCCAAAGAAUAAGCACCGGCUAACUUCGU